Molecule: ribosomal RNA, 497 nt
Filed under: uncultured bacterium
Lineage: Bacteria
Description: partial 16S ribosomal RNA
Rfam family: Bacterial small subunit ribosomal RNA
Source: RNAcentral
GAUGAACGCUGGCGGCGUGCCUAACACAUGCAAGUCGAGCGAACAGACGAGGCGUUUGCGCCUCUCUCGCUAGCGGCGGACGGGUGAGUAACACGAGGAUAACCCACCUAUAAGACUGGGAUAACUUCGGGAAACCGGCGCUAAUACCGGAUCAGAUAUUGAACCGCAGGGUUCAAUGGUCAAAGCCGGUUUUGCUGGCACGUAUCGAUGGAUCCCAGCCGCAUUAGCUAGUUGGUAAGGUAAAGGCUUACCAAGGCGACGAGGCGUAUCCGACCGGACAGGGGGAUCGGCCACCCUGGAACUGGGCCACGGUCCUGACUCCUGCGGGACGCCGCAGUCGGGAAUCUUGCGCAAUGGGCGAAAGUCUGACACAGCACCGGCGAGUGCGUGAUGAAGGUCUUCCGAUCGUAAAACUCUGUUAUUAGGGAAGAACAACUGUCUCCUUAAAUAUGCCCGUCUUGACGGUACCUAAUCAGAAAGCUCCGGCUAACUACGUG